AUGGGCGGCGGAGGGCCGGGCCGCCCUGCGCGGCGGGGGCCCGCUUGCCUCUGGGUGACGCUGGCGCUGGCGUGGGGCGCGGGGAGCCGCGCCGCCGCGGGGGAGGGGGAAGGAGACGGAGAGCCCGGGCAGGGGGACGCAGGGACGCCGUGUGGGGCGGAGGGCUGGGCGCGGGCCGCCGUCCCGCCGGGCCCGGCCUUCGCGGCCGCCGCGUCGUACCGCGGGCCGGGAAACGACGACGCGCGGGGCGACGGAGCGCUGCCCAUCCUGCUGUGGUGGAGCGGCAGCCUCUUCCCGCACUUCCCCGGCGACACGGAGCGCAUCGACUGCCCGCGGGGCUCCUGCCUCGUCACGCGCAGCCGCCGGGCGGCGCGGCACCGCCGCACCAGGGCGCUCAUCUUCUACGGCACCGACUUCCGCGCCUACGAGGCGCCGCUGCCCCGCCUGCCCCACCAGACGUGGGCGCUGUUCCACGAGGAGUCCCCCAUGAACAACUUCCUCCUCUCGCACCCGCCCGGCAUCCGCCUCUUCAACUACACGGCCACCUUCCGCCGCGAGUCGGACUACCCGCUGACGCUGCAGUGGCUGCCCGGCACGAGUUACCUGCGGGGCCCGGCGCUGCCCCUGGCCGAGAAGGACGCGUGGCGGCGGCGGGGCUACGGCCCGGUGCUGUACGUGCAGUCCCACUGCGACGUGCCCUCGGACAGGGACCGCUACGUGCGGGAGCUCAUGAAGUACAUCCAGGUUGACUCCUAUGGGAAAUGCCUUCAUAACCGCGAGCUUCCCAGUGAGCGACUGAGAGACACUUCAACAGCCACUACAGAAGAUCCCGAAUUCAUGGCUUUUAUUGCCAGGUACAAGUUCCACCUGGCCUUGGAGAAUGCCAUAUGUAACGACUACAUGACAGAGAAGCUGUGGCGUCCAAUGCAUUUGGGUGCUGUCCCAGUAUACCGAGGCUCCCCGGCCGUGCGGGACUGGAUGCCAAACAACCUCUCCAUCAUUCUUAUUGAUGACUUUGAGAGCCCCCGAGAGCUGGCAAAGUACCUUGAUUUCCUUGACAAGAAUGGAGAGGAAUAUAUGAAGUACCUAGAGUAUAAAAACCUUGAUGGCAUCAAAAACCAGUUCUUGCUAGAGAACUUGGAGAGGCGGGAGUGGGGUGUGAAUGACAUGACUUUGCCCAAUUACCUGAAUGGCUUCGAGUGUUUCAUCUGUGACAGGGAGAACGCCCGGGUCAGAGCAGAGCAGGAACACAAAAAGUCUGGUGGGAAAACUCCAGCUCCCGCACCUCAGAUAGCUCAUUUCCAGCACAUGGGAUGCCCUAUGCCAACCCCUGGGUUUGGAAGUGUUGAAGACCUCCCUCGGGAAGACAGUUGGAAAGAGAUGUGGCUUCAGGACUAUUGGCAAAGCCUUGAUCAGGGUGAGGCCCUCACUGCUAUGAUUCAUCACAAUGAGUCACAUCAGGGAAGAUUUUGGGAUUAUAUGCAUGAGAUUUUUCUCAAGAGGACCAGGCAACACUGAUCCAUCCCUGUAAGAGCUUGGUUUGAAAAUUGCGUUGAAGGUUGUGACUGAGAAUUCUUACUUCUCUCCAGAUGUUUGCCUUGAAAUAGAAGAAACUUUUGCAGACUGUUUUUCUGGUGCAUGAAUGCUCCCUCCAGUUUGGAGAUGAACCUUGCAGUCUUUUUGUGCUGAGAUGGAUGAUCAGAAUGGGGAACACGGAGGUGGCUUUGUGUCUGUACCUAAUCUUAAUGCAGUAGGAUCCUGGUCUGUGCUGGAGUUCCUAAAAGUAAGUGAUGACAUAUAAAUCAUCUUUGCUGCAUAACCUGUAUCUCUUAAUAAAUAAAAAAUAUGUGCCGUUACCUGCCAUGCUGGUACCUUCCUGAAAUAAUUGAUCUUGGAUUGGAAGGAGACUUGUUUUUCUUGUCUGAGGGGUUUAAAUUCACAGGCCGCACACUUCAGUGAUAUUUCUAACAGUCUGAUGCUAUUUCUCACUUCUCUCUCUUUGGAAAUAACUACUGGAUAAAUAGCCAGAGUGUAACUAUGUCUAAGGUAGAUCAUUGGAUCUUUGAGGUGAUUUCAUUCUGUAAGGCAGUCCGGGUGUUGCUGGGAGAAGCCAGAAGCCUAUUACUACAAUUUGGGAAGAGGACUAAAUCCACGUUCUGUUACGUUGUCUUCUAUUGUUAAGCUGCGUAUGGAUCAGUUAAUUUCAUUUUUUCUCAAAUUACAAUUCAUAAUAUUCUGGGUAUAUUAUGGAUAUAAUAUUCUUAUAGGUGAUGACACUCAUCUCAGUGUUUGUUUCUCAGGUGAUACAGUAAUGCUGUAGUGUUAAAAUCUGGGCGUUAUGAACAAUGAAGACCCGCAAUUAAUCCCUGCAUUCUUGUGGGUAUGGAAAAUGCAUGUGCAAUACACUGAUCUCACCUGACUUUUUGUACAAGUCUUUUUUUCUUCUGUAAUUAAGUAACAAGUGGCUCUUCAGCUAAAAUUGUUCACCAGUAUACAUUCCUCUUUUUCAGGUACUUGGGCUACAGGAUUGAUUAGGUGAAUAUAUAUGAAUUAUUUUUUCAAGUGGAUUAUUCAGAUCAGAUUAAAAUAUAGAUCUGUAUAUUCAGGAUUGAAGUGGUCACAGCGUGCUUGAGAAGUAAAUAAAGAAAAUUAAGACUGCUUUAGCUCUGAAUAUAAACUUCUACUGAACUGCUUAAUGAGAUUUAAAUAAAUUGUCUGAACAAAUUUCUCCAGUUACUCGAGAUUCUCUUCAUUUCAUGUAUCUGUAUAGAAAAGCAUUUGGUCCUCAUUGAUUGUCUUCUUAAUUAGCUAUAUUUCAAAAACCUUUCUUAUCUAAGUUUUGUUGUUAUAGGCAGGAGAAAUUCUGAUCUUGCUUCUAAUACUAAAUGUAAAAGUAAGGUCCACAUGCUAGCACAUUCUGCUUUUUGCAUUUAUUCUUUAAGUAGAAUUUCUAGAAGUGGGGGAUGUAUUGCCAAGUCUAGGUAUCUUAUUAUUUUUUAAUAAUUUAUCUGCCAUUACCAAAAUUGGACAUUAUAUACAUUAUGUAUUGUCCUUGCAGUAAUAAUGAGUAAGUACCAAUGCAGGCAAGUGUACCAUAGCACUUGCUUAAUUCUUGAUUAGUGAGGUCCUAACUCCCCGCUUCACCUGUCUGCACAGCAAAAUGAGCAUGUCUUUGUUGACUGACAAUAGAAUUGAAGAUCUGGUGGUACAAACUUAAGAGUAGCUAGUAAAAAUUUAACCUUUGAGACCCUCUGUAUGAAUUUAUUGGUUUGAAAUCAAGUAUUCCUUCACCAUUAUUUUUUAUCUUUACUCAGUAUAUUACAUCCACCAGUCCAACAAGUUUAUUUUGUGUUUUUUUUUCCCUGUGUAUAUAUAGUACAAAAGGUGUUUGAGUUUCAUGACUGUUGCCAAAUAUGAGUAUUUUUGACUUCUCUGAUCACUAUAUCCUUUGUUAACACAGGUGAGAAAGUAGCACAGGUAUGAAACUAACUUUAUCACAAAUAUUCUUUGUGGGUUUUUUUCUAAAGUUUUCAAAAUACAACUUUUAGUUAUCUAAAAAUCACAAGGCAGUUUCAACAGUUCUCUCUUCCAAGCUCUUAAUGUCUUCCUAGAUACAGCUGUGUUUUUUCAGUCUCACAAGUGAGGAGUUUCUCAAAAGGUAAUGAGUACCAGGUACCACUCUUCACAGAGCGAAGCCAAGAUAUUCACCCCAAACCUUGUGUUUCUAUUGUAUCUGCAGAUACCAGAGUUUCUUUUGUACCUGCAGUGUUAGACUGUGCUCCCUGUAGCUUCUCCUGUAUGUCACAAUUAACGCCUCUGAUUUGUAAUCGGUGUGAUUAUGUUCAUCAAUACACUAAAUCUGUUUCACUUAUUGUGUACAUUGUGCUAGAGCUGAAAGGGUUGUUCCAAUGUGUGGUAUGAAGUUCUUCUGUAGCUACCAGGCAAGCUCCUCAGGAGCAGGAGGAGCAGUUAUCUUCCCAGCUGGCUGAAGAGAUGUGGUUGUAGUUCUGUUCCAGGCUGCUGGCUGACCUUCAUAACAUCCAGCCCUGUGAACAGAAAAAUGUUGAUCCUCAUCAACAUUUUGCUUUCAUCUUCUUCAACUGUUCGGAGGACACAGAAGGAGAAGCUGUAUCUUAAAGCUUUGAAGGGCAUACGCGUCUUGUCACUGUCCAGUUUGCUUGUAGCUUACACCAGCCCUGGAACAAGAAUACCCAUUGCUCUACAAGCACUCCCUUAUAGCUAAAAUACUUAUAACUGAUAAUCUAUUUUUGACAUAAUUUUUGAUAUAAUUUAUUCUUCUUUUAUUUUCCUACUGUCUUGUCAAAGUAUUCUUUCUGAGAAUGGGUGUCUUCAAGGCUGAGUCCUUCUACCAGGAAUAAAGAAUUUGAGAUCAAUUUACACUGUAAUUCAUUUUGAGAGGAUUGCUCUUUAAUGUCCAAAGACUACUGCCAACGUUAGCCAAAGUGAAUUCAAUUUACAAUCCUAGGUGUCUUUCUACUAAUGCAAAUACAUGAAUGCAGGCAAGGAGGAAGGUCACUGCAGCAGUUAUUCAUAGUUUGGAGAAAGGUGUCUAUUUGUGCAGGUUUCUUGGCAGUAGAUUUCUUACUUCUCUGCUUUAAAUCCAAACCAGCUAAAUAGAGGCUGAAUGUCAUCACUCAUGUUGUGACUGCUGGAAGGCUUAUAAUACUUAUCAGAAACGCUGUAUACAGCCAUCUUCUGUUAACCCUGUUCUUAGUGCACAGGGGCCCAUAAUCACAGAACCACAAUUGAGCCUACUUGGGAAUUUUAGCAAAGGUUAUCAAAUACUAAGGUGAUAAAGAAAUUACCCAUGUGCACCCUUUGGCAGUCCUCUACUAGCCAGAGUGAGUCACUUCCCUGCUCAUCAUGCAUUUUCCUGUUUAUUGUGUGACUAGAGGGAGGAUUUCAGAGCUGUCAAGACAGCUUUAUUCAUUAGCAUUAACGUUCUAAAAAUAGAUACCUUGUCCUCAUAACUGCAUACAUAUGAAACUGUAGUAGAUUCUAUUAAUGCUGAAUUGACUUGAAAAAUUGGGAUAAUUUAUGGCCCCUGAGAGGUGAGGGAAAGAAAUGUCUGACUGAAGGUUAAAAAUCCAGUAAUCCAUUUCAUUGCACUGGACAAGCUGAAGUUAUCUUUCUCCUGCCAAAACUGUGGUAUCGGGUGCCGCUUGAUUUUUUCAGGAAGAAGGUGGGUAUUUUAUUUGUUGAACUGGUAAUCUGUGUUUUCUGUUCUUUCAGUAGGACUGCAAUUUCUAAGAAAACAGCCUCAGUGGAGAAUACUGAUUUGAUACCAAAUAUUGAUUUUUGCAUCUGAAAAGAGGAAGGUUUUUUUCUUUCUUUCACUGUAGUAAUUUUCAGUUAGGAAUUCUAAAACUGAGCUAAUGAUCUCUGGGUCUAUAAUGAUAAAUAGAAUGAAACACUUGAAGAACCAGAUGACUGUGGAUGUGUUUGAGGAGAAAAAGGAAAGAGAGUCUUUCUAUCUGCAAAGUGGCAGCAUCUAGAGAAUCACAGCAAAAGUUCUGUAAUACCUUGACAGAGGGUAGUUUUAACUAUUUUGGCAAACAAUUGAUAGUGAAGGAACAAAUAACUCCUACAGUUCUGGAAGCAGUAUAAAUUGAAUUGGAACACUGUCAGGGACAUCGCUGUUUAAACAGGCUUUGCUAUGUUAGACAAGUGGCCAUAUGCCCCCCCGUAACAUCUUUGCAUACUCACACUUCACCUAUCGUCCCAAGAGAGCCACUCCCUUAAUAAUUAGCUGUCAUCUAUUUGGUUGAAUUUAAUUAAGAUUGUUGAUAGAUCUCCAGGCACCUCCUGAGAAGUUGCGUUAAUUGGAAACAUCUAGGAAGUUACCUUCCUUCAUUCUGCCCGGAGACUUCUACUGACAAGUCAAAAUUAAUCAGAGACAAAAUCCUUUUAGUGAUAGGACCAGCUGAGCCAAAGCCUAUGUCAAGUUUUAACAGAGUGCACUUCUCUUAUGAUUCAGUGUCUCUAAGCUGGCAGCGAAAGAUACCUGGCCUUGCAGAGAGAUUAGGAAGAGUGGAGAGGAGUGGAACUGCAGGGUUUGUUCUGGAGCCCUGAUAGGACUGGCAUCUUAAUUUGUAUUCUAUGUGCUCUUC
This is an RNA transcript of Phasianus colchicus (ring-necked pheasant), 6131 nucleotides long. It is a transcript of the gene named protein O-fucosyltransferase 4, with no coding region annotated. The record is from RefSeq and is a predicted model, not a curated record. NCBI's taxonomy places the organism in Eukaryota, Metazoa, Chordata, Aves, Galliformes, Phasianidae.